Molecule: ribosomal RNA, 253 nt
Filed under: uncultured bacterium
Lineage: Bacteria
Description: partial 16S ribosomal RNA
Rfam family: Bacterial small subunit ribosomal RNA
Source: RNAcentral
UACAGAGGUGGCAAGCGUUGUUCGGAAUUACUGGGCGUAAAGGGCGCGUAGGCGGCCAUCUAAGUCAGACGUGAAAUCCCCCGGCUUAACCUGGGAACUGCGUCUGAUACUGGACGGCUUGAGUAUGGGAGAGGGAUGUAGAAUUCCAGGUGUAGCGGUGAAAUGCGUAGAUAUCUGGAGGAAUACCGGUGGCGAAGGCGGCAGCCUGGACCAUUACUGACGCUGAGGCGCGAAAGCUAGGGGAGCAAACGGG